Long non-coding RNA from Apodemus sylvaticus (European woodmouse), 7213 nucleotides. RefSeq lists it as uncharacterized. The record is from RefSeq and is a predicted model, not a curated record. Lineage: Eukaryota; Metazoa; Chordata; Mammalia; Rodentia; Muridae. The transcript has 6 exons.
GCCAUGGGUUCUCAUGGUGGCUCUGUUCAUUUGGGGCUGGUCCUUUGGGUAUCAGGUACUAUUUUCGUCCCAGGUUUGCAGAUGGGAAGGAAAAGCUGACUCAUUAAGGCUCUGGUCCAGUAGAGCUCUCUCUGGGGCAGGGUUAAGUUUCUCUUUCUGAUAUCUCUGUAGUUCCUUUUUUCACCACACCACAGCAAAAGGAGAAAUUCUGGCCCUGGCUAAAGGGCUGAAUGAGUUCAUUCUCAGUGGCCUUUCUGACUGACUAGGAACUACAGUGAAUCGCAAGCAGAGUCCACCAUCCACCAAUCAUCAAGGAUGUGAUGGUCUUCAAAGCCUUAUCCAAAUCCCUCCCCCGACACAGAUUUCAGGUUCUGUAGCCAAGCCUCUUCUUGUUUCAUCCCUUCAAAGUCAGCGCAAGAUAAUCAAGUGAAUUGCUCAGCAACAUGGUCAGAUUUGCUGGAAAUUACGACCCCCAAGUACUUUCCAAAAGGAAAAGAAAAUGCCAGGAUGAAGUGUAUGACAUCCAUCAUCCUCUACAGGUUAACAUCAUGAAACAUGCCAAGUCCACCAGGCUCUCCAGAGAAAGUGAUGCUACAGGAUACAGGCUCACAGAAAACCUUUUGAGGAUUGUUAUCAGUUAAUAGACAAUGCCUUUUCUAAAGAAAAUACAAAAUAAAACAAGCAUCCAGCAUACAAAGGUUUUACUCCACACUUCCUGGUCCUUUCACUCACGUUUCCAUCUCCAGGGGAACAGCAGAUACCACCCCUCACAUUCCAGAAUAUUUGCUGAAUAAAUGAACUCGAGCUUUUCCCUGACACACAUUGGCUUAUGAAGACUCUUGACACAUUAUGACAAUUUCAAUGCUUCAAAUUGAAAGUUUUCUUAACUAGGUCAGCAAAAAUGGUUAGUGGCACCUCAUGCCAUGAUUGGGAAGAAUUGGAGAAAUUCUCGAAUCUGUGCCAUGGUCAGUCUAUGUCAGUGGGCCAGGUCACAUGAAGACACAGUUCUUGACAUCGCCAUAGCCAAAAAUUUGCUUGGUAAAAGUCCCAAGAAACCCCAUCAUUCUUUAAACCGCAGAAGGAAAUGAAGGGCCAGAGUGGCCAUGAAUAAUUUUAACCCUGGGGUCUCAAUGAACAGUCAGAGCUGGACAUAAGUCAGCUAACAGAAUGUGCAAAGAAUAGGAAGUCGUGCCUGGGAUACAGUCACUACCCAGAAUAGGAUGUAACAGUCAGCACACGGCUUGAGGCACAACUGCGGUCAGAAAAGAAGAAUGCAUGAUGGAUUCUCCACAGGAAACACCAAGGUGCCUGCUAGGAUUCUCCUGGGUGCAUUUGAGACAUCACACCCACAAGUUCCUAGGCAACAGGAUCCAAAUCCUGUGAUGCCUUUCUCAGGAUGGUCAACCACGUUGAGUAUUGCUGAAGAAAAGACAGUUUUUCCACUUAAACUUUGCGAACCAUGCAUGUCCUGUCCUUCCUCAACAUGGUUUCUGAAUGUGGAAGAAUAGAAGGUUAUCUAUCCCUUGGUUACCACAAAACUCAGGUCUGAAGCUUCUGUGUGACCGCAAAACAUACUCCUGCCAUCUAACAGGUCCAGCAGGGAAAGCAGCCAGGUCCACAGGGAAGUGUCAGCCUCCUUGCCGGAGGGAAGCAAAUAAACCUUACUGCUCGGGCAGUCACUGCAGUUUCCUACUCCAUUCCUACUCCACAGCGCCAUCGUUUUCUAUUUCAGGACUGCCAAUGCCCAGCAUGGACCCCUUAGUAAGUGUUGAGGCAAAUGGAAGAAGCAAGCGUCAGGAAACCACAGAUUAUCAUGUACAGAAAGAGGCCGAAUGCUCUAACCACUGUACAUAACUGUCCAUUUGCCAACCAGCUGCUGUUGGCAAAAUCUUAUUAAAGAGAGAUUAAAAAAAAAAAAGCCAUGUGAAGGAUUUUGUAGCUGCAAACCCUCGCCUCUCCAUGCCAACACUUGAACAUGCAGAACAAGCUUUCCAGAGGGGUGGUGGACUCAUCACAGUGCUGCUCUACAGGCCGGGCCUCCAGCAGACUGAUCCAGACACAAUUUAGAUCCAGGAUAAGCAUUCCAAAAGAAACGCUUGGGAAAUUGACACGACAACAGUCUCUAGAGGCUAUCCAGCUCAGCCAGACUCCAAAAAGUAAUUGUUUUUCCAUAAAAUCAUUUUUAUGACUUCCUACCUAAAAUUUACCAGCUCUUCUGUGUCAUAAAAAAAAAAAAAGGACUCUUUAAAAACUUCCUUUCCAGUAAUCACCACACUGGGUUUUCUUUUGUCCCUGCAGUGAAGGCUGAGACGAACAUUUCACUCAGUCAGUGCUGCGUUAUGCAUGCAAGGGCGGAUACUUUCCUGGAAAGUUCCAUCAGCUUCCAUGGCCUUAACAUCUAUAAAUGAUUGGACUAAAUUUAUGGGAUAUGAAACAGACUAGACGGCUAUUUAUUCCCCUUUAAAACAUUUAAAGCAUUUGAAAUAUUUAUUUAAAGCUCAGCCUUUAUUUGGUAGAACUGGCUGGAGGGGGCGGGGGGGGGGGAGGUUCUUACAGAACUUCUCUUAAUUUGUUGAUUAAGUAAGAAAUCAUGGGAAAAAGUUGUAGAAAUAGUGACUCUCAGACAGGGAAUGAAGGGUCUUAGGCUGCUGGGUCACUGUGGUUUAUAGAUACUGGAGACACUGGAAGUGUCCUGUAAGCAUUAUUGAUUGAUCGAUGGCCCGCAUUUAUAAAAUAUGGGGUCUGUUUCAACAUCCUGGCUGCAAACGCAGCGCACACAUUUACCUACACAAAGUUCAAAGGGAGAGGGGGAUCCAAGCAGAGUCUCUGGACUUUGCCGAUGACUGCUUCAAACUUGUUUUCACAAGGCAGCCCCCUGCUUCGGAGCCCUGGUACUCUCUUUUACAGCAACGCUUAAAAGCCAAGCUGCGUUUGAUUCUCAGAGACAAAACAAUCAAGAAAUCCAGCAUGAGCGGCUUUUCCUUUUCAACACUGGGAGACAGAAAGACAGAAGGACAGCCUCGGCUGGGGCAACGGAGAAGAUGAAGAACUAGGAACAGUCACUCGACUGAAGCAGCGCAGAAAAGGAGGGAAAUCAUGCCUGGUACUGGAAAACCCAUGGUGAACACUGUUAUGAAUCAUACAGGAGAAGCUACUACCACUGUCAUAAAUCAGUUUCAUUUCUAACUGUAUUCUAAAUACUUAUUCUUUUACCCAGAUAAGGGUAGGUUUCAAUUUUCAUCAAAGCAGCGGUUCUUUGAAGCAGGUGGAGACCAUUAUAAAAAGCCACAACUGGUCAUAAUACCCAGAAUAACUGGCUUUGGGGUGUUCCACUGAAUGGAUACGUCUACAACCACUAUCCCUAAACCUCAGGGAAGACUGUGGAAGAGAAGGCAAAGAGAUUGUAAAAGCCUGAGGACCAAGACGUCUGUUAUAUGACAGUUUCUCUAUACAUGACAAGGAUGCUGCUCCUGUGAAAUAUUAAUAACACAGUUGCCUAAGAAGAUGGUAACAGCAAGGCCAACAUGGAUCGAAAGAUCACAUGAGGCCCUACGCCCCUCUAGAUGAAGAGCUAUCAGCAAUUAAUGGAUGCCAAAAGAUGGAGAUCCACUCUUCCCCAGAGCUGAAGCUUUGCCAGGUUAUCAAACACCUGACCUCAUUACACACAUAGUAAUGUGUGCAACACUAAAUGGACUCAGGCGACUGCAUUUAUAUAUACCUAUAACUAUAUAAUAAUGAAGCCAGAAAUUUGAGAGGAAAAGGGGAGGAGGACACAGGAAGGGAAGAGGAAGGGAUAGAAGUGAUGCAAAUACAAUACAUAUGUAUGCAAUUCUCAAAUCAUCAUCAUCAUCAUCAUAACAAUAACAACAAUAAUAAUAAUACAGUAAUAAAACAGAUGCAGGAUGCUCAACAAGGCCCCAGUCAAACACAGAAGCCUAUGUCCAUCCCAUAUUUGCUUUGCUCUCUAGACCAUUCCUUGCUAUGUUUCGAUAAAUGCAUCCUUCAUUUCUCUGCCAUCAAUUCCAGCAUCUUUAUGAUACUCAGUCUCAGCGUGGCGGUCAGGUGCCCUGUCACCCCCAGAUAAUCUGUCUCUCAGAUUGUGAUCCAUCUCUUGAGGCAGCACUGCACAUGUCUGUGACAGUUCAAACCCGGGCACCCACAUCAGUGGCUCACAACUGCCUUUAAUUCCAGUUCCAGGAGAACCGAAGCUCUUUUCUGACCCCCAUAGGCUUCUACAUUCAUGUUCACAAAGUCACACACAGACAGGCACCGGGGAAGAAAGACAUCAAGAAAACUGAUGUAAAUCUUAAAGACAAAAGGCUAACUAGAAAAUGGAACAAAUUUAGUAUUUUGCACAACUAUGUAAAACUGGAAGGUAAAAACUAUGGCACAAAUAGGCAGCAAAGAUGACUGGAGAGGCAUUAGAAAAAGAGGGCUGGUGAGACAGCUCAGUGGGUGAGGAACCCUUGUCACAUAAGUGUGACAACUGAGUAGAUUCCCUGAACCUAUAGUGAAAAGAGAACCAAGUCCUGACAGUCAAUCUCUCACCUCCACACAACCACCAUGGCACACAUAUAUGCACAUAAAGGUAUGCAUGCACACACACACACACUAUAAACAUAAUAUAAAAUAAUAUAAAAAUUAAAGGAAAAAACCACAAAAAGUAUCAAACUGACAUUUACCACCAUGUUUGGCCUAGCAACCUUGAAACAGGUAUAUUCAUGCCUCAUCUGAUCAAAGGAGAAGAACGCUAACAAAACCAUACAGCUCACCGCUUAGUGGGGGUUGUCCCUGUAGAAACUAUAAGCUUCUCAAAGAACAACCUCAGAGAGCUAACAAGGUGAUAAUGACGCAGUAUUUCUUUGUAAAAAAAAAUACUGUAUAUUUCUAUUAUACUUAAGAUGGCAUAGUUGGAAAUAAUAUGCAUGUUUGAUAAAUAAGAACGAGCUAUUUCAAUCACUGGGGCUAGGGAGAUGACUCAGGGGUUAAGAGUACUUGCUGCUCUUCCAAAGGAGUUAAGUUCAGUUCCCAGCAACCACGUUGGCUGGUCCAGUGCCACCUGCCACUCUGGCUGCAGGUUACCCACUACUCUCUUCUGGCCUCCACAGGCAUGUAGACACAGAGCGUGAAUACAUACUCAAGACAUAUAAAUAAAUAAUAAAGGUAAGUCUCAAAAAUAAGCUAUUGAACUAUUAAUAUAGUAAGAUUAAAAUAGGCAUAUGAUAAAAGAAUGGAAGUCUACAUAAAAUAAUAAUAAUAUCCUAAAGAUCUUAGAUUAUAAAAUAGUAAGCAAAGUGUAGGAAAUGCACAGUCACCUUGGGACAAACAAAAUAUUUCAAGGCAAAGGUCACGGGGAAUCCUCUCUGUCCCCUGACCUAUCUGUUACAUUUGGCUUGUCAGUCUAUUUCUCCAGAAGCUCCCUUGCCUACAAGGCCAUAGUCUAUUUCCCACAGUUGACUAAUUGUUUAUUCCUCCAAAUAGAACCUACCCUGUCCUAAAGGGACACACAAUGUUCUCUCUCCUGUUCUCCACCCUUGCACAGGAAGGGCAGUGUCACAGGCCUUGUAUCUGUUAGCUGAGUUCUAGAUAGCAACACGUCAGCAAGUCUGACCACAGACCGACAGUGCUUCUACAGGGGUCCUUGGUUUUCCUAUUCCCAACGUUACAAACUCAAUGCUUCUGUCCGUCUGAAUUUGCUGUCAGGCCUCUCAGUCACCAUCAAUCAGGGAUGUUCAACUUGUAACUGAUAAACAGCUAAGAAAGCAUUAUGCUACUAUUAAAGAAAUAUAUUCUAACAUAUUCUGGUUAGUUUUUUUUAACACGUUGUAGGUAAGUGUGGUUUGAAAAGAGGGUGCCUCUGCUGAGAAAAUGUUCCCCAUGAGGUUGUCCUAUACACUAGCCUGUAGAGUAUUUUCACAUCAAUGUGAUUAAUUGUAGAUGUGUGCCUACUCCACUGUGGGUAGUGGGCAGUGCCAACCUGGGGCAAGUUAUUCUGAGUUGUAUAAGAAAGCCUGCUGAGCAAGGAAACUGGUAAGCAGCAUCUUCCAUGACUUCUGCCUCUGGGUUCCCAUCCUGGCCCUGAUUUCUUUCAGAGGUGAGGUGAUCUGAGAGUUAUAAGGUGAGAUAAACCCUUUCCUCCCCAAGCUACCUUUGGUCAUAGUGUUAAUCACAGCAACAGAAACUCCAAGACUGUAUAUAUUGUUAUUAUAUAAAUAAAAUGCUAACAUUACUUUCAACGCUCUGUGCCAUGGAUUAGGAGCAAGUAAUAUCAUCAAGACAUCAAUCUUAAAACACAGAUCUAAUGAUGUUUAUAUUAGAUGCAACAAAAGACACUGUACUAAACAGGCAUGAAGAAAUGAAAAUGUUAACGCUUUCCCAUGAGCAAAUUGUAUGGCUUCGGAUGUGACAAACUACAACUCCAGACAAGGCUGGUUGCUUUGGCAGUCUCUCCACGGGGAAGGGGAAUAAGGAGCGGGGAGACUAUUUUAUCAAGCUCAGACAUUUUUCAGUUAGGAAGGCACGAUGCUUUCUCUGGGGUCCAGUGUGCUUCAGUGGCCUGAAUAUAGGCUGUGGGCUCAAAACUAUGCCUUGAAUCUUGGCUCCAAAAGCUGUGUCGAGCAACUCAGUCAGAGGCUAAGCCUCCACAACCAAGAAUGUCUUACCAAUGAUAUGUAACCUAAAGGGUCAUGUUUGUCACUACUAAGCUAGAGGUUAGAGAAAUGAGUUCAUGCAUUCACGACUACUAUGUUAUACAAUAGAUGAUAGGGUGAUCAUAAAGAAUCUUUUGAAUUACAAGAUGUGAAAUUGCAUUUCAUGGAGGCUUAAAGUUGUACACAUUUCUUUAUAUGCAGAUUCUCUGCAAGUGGUCAUCAUCCUGUUGCUCCCAUGACAUGAUGUUGCUUACAUCACAGGUGUACUGCUUCGGGAAGGCCAUCAUUACUGGGUGUCUUACAGCACACUUCACCACUGUAACUUGGCUGUGGGGCUGGAUCAAGAAGGAGGAAGCUAUAGUGUGGAGGAACUGAAGCAGAUUACACUAAGGAAUCUGUGCAAUAAGGAUGAAAAAAGGAGACAGAGAUUUCUUGUAGGGUGAGGGGCAUUUCACGGGCUGCAAGGGAUUCCAACACUAACAGGUUCUUGCCUCCCUGCCUGGUGUACGCCAGGCUCAUAUGAAUUUGCUGAGGACCAAGAACACCUAGGAGUAUGAGAUCCA